This 234-nucleotide long non-coding RNA is filed under the name Mytilus galloprovincialis (Mediterranean mussel). Lineage: Eukaryota; Metazoa; Mollusca; Bivalvia; Mytilida; Mytilidae. The record is from RNAcentral.
GAUUUAACUGAGUUUACUGGCAUUCUGUACGAGUCGUUUUGGCCAAUUUGGGCGAGACGGUUUGUUGACAGGGCCGGUUCGGCCAUUUGGGUUGUUGUAGAAUGAGGCAUGAAGGAUGCCGCCAUAGCUGACUGUAAAUUAAAAGAUGGUAUUGUCUCUUGCAGCAUACUCUGUCUACUAUUAACUUGUUUCAGAGUUUGUUGACAAAGUUCUAUUGUGUUUAUCAACAACAUG